Neogale vison (American mink) is the source of this 354-nucleotide long non-coding RNA. RefSeq lists it as uncharacterized. Lineage: Eukaryota; Metazoa; Chordata; Mammalia; Carnivora; Mustelidae. The record is from RefSeq and is a predicted model, not a curated record. The transcript has 4 exons.
AUGCUCAUUUGGAAUUCAGAAUGUAUUUUACCACAGAAAUAAUAAGAAACUCUAACAAUAUUACUUUGGAUUGUGUGGGUCUGGGACUGCCUGCCCUCUGCAGGGCUGUGCUUGGCGAUUUGGAAGAGAAGAGGAGGAAGGAGUCCUGGUUCCUGACCUCAAGGCAUUUGCAGGUUCCACUGGGAGACAGGGCCUGCAAUGAAAUUGUUACUUCAUCCCAGAAACAGCUCCGUCUUCACCGGUUUGCAAAAGAUACCAAUGUCACAGCAUAGCCAACACUAGAAGCUGACAAGUCGUACCUGGGGUCCUGGAGAUGAUUCACGGUCCCUUCUCUUUUCACAGGUUCCGGUCCUC